This 77-nucleotide non-coding RNA is filed under the name Gymnodinium catenatum. Lineage: Eukaryota; Dinophyceae; Gymnodiniales; Gymnodiniaceae. The record is from RNAcentral.
GGCCGCCAAGAGGAUGGCCGGUCUGAAUCCUGAGUACCAGGCCGCGUUCAAGGCGUUCGACAGGGACAACAGCGGGA